This 460-nucleotide ribosomal RNA is filed under the name uncultured bacterium. RNAcentral's name for it is "partial 16S ribosomal RNA". It matches the Rfam family "Bacterial small subunit ribosomal RNA", at positions 338 to 795 of the family's 1533-position model. The record is from RNAcentral.
CCUACGGGUGGCAGCAGUGAGGAAUAUUGGUCAAUGGGCGCGAGCCUGAACCAGCCAAGUAGCGUGAAGGAUGACUGCCCUACGGGUUGUAAACCUCUUUUAUAAAGGAACAAAGUGAGGCACGCGUGCCUCUUUGUAUGUACUUUAUGAAUAAGGAUCGGCUAACUCCGUGCCAGCAGCCGCGGUAAUACGGAGGAUCCGAGCGUUAUCCGGAUUUAUUGGGUUUAAAGGGUGCGUAGGUGGGUUGUUAAGUCAGUUGUGAAAGUUGGCGGCUCAACCGUAAGAUUGCAAUUGAUACUGGCAGUCUUGAGUACAGUUGAGGUAGGCGGAAUUCGUGGUGUAGCGGUGAAAUGCGUAGAUAUCGCGAAGAACUCCGAUUGCGAAGGCAGCUUACUAGACUGCCACUGACGUUGAGGCACGAAGGUGUGGGUAGCGAACAGGAUUAGAUACCCGGGUAGUC